This 383-nucleotide ribosomal RNA is filed under the name uncultured bacterium. Its description in RNAcentral is "bacterial SSU rRNA". It matches the Rfam family "Bacterial small subunit ribosomal RNA", at positions 28 to 403 of the family's 1533-position model. The record is from RNAcentral.
GAUGAACGCUAGCGGCAGGCUUAACACAUGCAAGUCGAGGGGCAGCACGAUGUAGCAAUACAUUGGUGGCGACCGGCGCACGGGUGCGUAACACGUAUGGAACUUGCCCUUUACUGGAGGAUAGCCCGGAGAAAUCCGGAUUAAUACUCCAUAACAGUCGAGGUGGCAUCACCUUGGCUCGAAAGCUCCGGCGGUAAAGGAUGGCCAUGCGCACGAUAGCUAGUUGGUGAGGUAACGGCUCACCAAGGCUACGAUCGUUAGGGGGCCUGAGAGGGUUAUCCCCCACACUGGUACUGAGACACGGACCACGACUCCUACCGGGAGGGCAGCAGUGGAGGAAGUAUUGCGCAAUGGAGGCAACUCUGACGCAGCCAUGCCGCGUG